Molecule: ribosomal RNA, 440 nt
Filed under: uncultured bacterium
Lineage: Bacteria
Description: partial 16S ribosomal RNA
Rfam family: Bacterial small subunit ribosomal RNA
Source: RNAcentral
CCUACGGGAGGCAGCAGUAAGGGAUAUUGGUCAAUGGGCGAAACCCUGAACCAGCAACGUCGCGUGAGGGAAGACGGUUCUCGGAUUGUAAACCUCUGUUCUUUGUGAAGUUGAUGACGGUAGCAGAGGAGGAAGCUCCGUCUAACUACGUUCCAGCAGCCGCGGUAAUACGGAGGGAGCGAGCGUUGUCCGGAUUUACUGGGUGUAAAGGGUGCGUAGGCGGCUUGGCAAGUCAGUAGUGAAAUCCAUGGGUUUAACCCAUGAACUGCUAUUGAAACUGUCGAGCUUGAGUGAAGUAGAGGUAGGCGGAAUUCGCGGUGUAGCGGUGAAAUGCGUAGAGAUCGCGAGGAACACCGGUGGCGAAGGCGGCCUACUAGGCUUUAACUGACGCUGAGGCACUAAAGCGUGGGUAGCAAACAGGAUUAGAUACCCCGGUAGUC